GAUGAAGAACGCAGUGAAAUGCGAUAAGUAAUGUGAAUUGCAGAAUUCAGUGAAUCAUCGAAUCUUUGAACGCACAUUGCGCCCGCCAGUAUUCUGGCGGGCAUGCCUGUUCGAGCGUCAUUACGCCCCUCAAGUCCCCUGUGGACUUGGUGUUGGGGAUCGGCGAGGCUGGUUUUCCAGCACAGCCGUCCCUUAAAUUAAUUGGCGGUCUCGCCGUGGCCCUCCUCUGCGCAGUAGUAAAACACUCGCAACAGGAGCCCGGCGCGGUCCACUGCCGUAAAACCCCCCAACUUUUUAUAGUUGACCUCGAAUCAGGUAGGACUACCCGCUGAACUUAAGCAUAUCAAUAAGCGGAGGA
This 358-nucleotide unclassified non-coding RNA is filed under the name soil metagenome. RNAcentral describes it as "partial contains 5.8S ribosomal RNA, internal transcribed spacer 2, and large subunit ribosomal RNA". The stretch from base 1 to 120 matches the Rfam family "5.8S ribosomal RNA", at positions 35 to 154 of the family's 154-position model. The record is from RNAcentral.